GACGAACGCUGGCGGCGUGCUUAACACAUGCAAGUCGAACGAUAAACCCGGACUUUGCUGUGGGGCGUGAGUGGCGAACGGGUGAGUAACACGUGAGUAACCCGCCCUGGACUGUGGGAUAAGCGGUGGAAACGACGUCUAACACCGGAUAGGAACUUGGAUCGCAUGGUCUGGGGGGGAAAGUUUUCUCUGGCUGGGCUGGUCGCGCGGUAUCAUCGCUUGUUGGGGGGGGUAUGGGUCACCAAGGUGUCGGCGGGUCGCCGGCCUGAGAGGGUGGACGGCCACACUGGGACUGGGGCACGGGCCAGGCUCCUUCGGGCGGCAGCAGUUGGGAAUAUUGCACAAUGGGCGAAAGGCUGAUGCAGGAGCGGCGCGUGCGGGGUGAAGGCCUUCGGGUUGUAAACCGCUUUUCGUAGGGAAGAAGGGCUUCGGCUUGACGGUACCUGCAGAAAAAGGACCGGCUAACUACGUG
RNAcentral lists this ribosomal RNA (472 nucleotides) under uncultured bacterium. Its description in RNAcentral is "partial 16S ribosomal RNA". It matches the Rfam family "Bacterial small subunit ribosomal RNA", at positions 28 to 507 of the family's 1533-position model. The record is from RNAcentral.